AAACUCGAGCUAAUACCGCAUACGUCCUACGGGAGAAAGUGGGGGAUCUUCGGACCUCACGCUAUCAGAUGAGCCUAGGUCGGAUUAGCUAGUUGGUGAGGUAAAGGCUCACCAAGGCGACGAUCCGUAACUGGUCUGAGAGGAUGAUCAGUCACACUGGAACUGAGACACGGUCCAGACUCCUACGGGAGGCAGCAGUGGGGAAUAUUGGACAAUGGGCGAAAGCCUGAUCCAGCCAUGCCGCGUGUGUGAAGAAGGUCUUCGGAUUGUAAAGCACUUUAAGUUGGGAGGAAGGGCAGUAAGUUAAUACCUUGCUGUUUUGACGUUACCAACAGAAUAAGCACCGGCUAACUUCGUGCCAGCAGCCGCGGUAAUACGAA
RNAcentral lists this ribosomal RNA (380 nucleotides) under Pseudomonas sp. AF-4B. Its description in RNAcentral is "bacterial SSU rRNA". It matches the Rfam family "Bacterial small subunit ribosomal RNA", at positions 154 to 529 of the family's 1533-position model. Lineage: Bacteria; Pseudomonadati; Pseudomonadota; Gammaproteobacteria; Pseudomonadales; Pseudomonadaceae. The record is from RNAcentral.